AUCUAUGGCCAUACCACCCUGAAUGCGCCCGAUCUCGCCUGAUCUCGGAAGCUAAGCAGAGUCGGGCCUGGUUAAUACUUGGAUGGGAGACCGCCUGGGAAUACCGGGUGCUGUAGGCU
Ribosomal RNA from Myotis lucifugus (little brown bat), 119 nucleotides. NCBI's taxonomy places the organism in Eukaryota, Metazoa, Chordata, Mammalia, Chiroptera, Vespertilionidae. The record is from Ensembl.